This 432-nucleotide ribosomal RNA is filed under the name uncultured bacterium. RNAcentral describes it as "partial 16S ribosomal RNA". It matches the Rfam family "Bacterial small subunit ribosomal RNA", at positions 29 to 507 of the family's 1533-position model. The record is from RNAcentral.
AACGAACGCUGCGGCAUGCCUAACACAUGCCAGUCGCACGAGACCUUCGGGUCUAGUGGCGCACGGGUGCGUAACGCGUGGGAACCUGCCCUUAGGUUCGGAAUAACUCCCCGAAAGGGGUGCUAAUACCGGAUAAUGUCUUCGGACCAAAGAUUUAUCGCCUUUGGAUGGGCCCGCGUUGGAUUAGCUAGUUGGUAGGGUAAAAGCCUACCAAGGCGACGAUCCAUAGCUGGUCUGAGAGGAUGAUCAGCCACACUGGGACUGAGACACGGCCCAGACUCCUACGGGAGGCAGCAGUGGGGAAUAUUGGACAAUGGGCGAAAGCCUGAUCCAGCAAUGCCGCGUGAGUGAUGAAGGCCUUAGGGUUGUAAAGCUCUUUUACCCGGGAUGAUAAUGACAGUACCGGGAGAAUAAGCUCCGGCUAACUCCGUG